ACGUAGGGCGCAAGCGUUGUCCGGAAUUAUUGGGCGUAAAGAGCUCGUAGGCGGUUUGUCGCGUCUGCUGUGAAAGCCCGGGGCUCAACCCCGGGUCUGCAGUGGGUACGGGCAGACUAGAGUGCAGUAGGGGAGACUGGAUCGUUGCUGGUGGUAA
This 157-nucleotide ribosomal RNA is filed under the name uncultured bacterium. RNAcentral's name for it is "partial 16S ribosomal RNA". It matches the Rfam family "Bacterial small subunit ribosomal RNA", at positions 525 to 684 of the family's 1533-position model. The record is from RNAcentral.